AGCGAACGCUGGCGGCAUGCCUAACACAUGCAAGUCGAACGAGACCUUCGGGUCUAGUGGCGCACGGGUGCGUAACGCGUGGGAACCUGCCCUUAGGUUCGGAAUAACUCCCCGAAAGGGGUGCUAAUACCGGAUAACGUCUUCGGACCAAAGAUUUAUCGCCUUUGGAUGGGCCCGCGUUGGAUUAGCUAGUUGGUAGGGUAAAAGCCUACCAAGGCGACGAUCCAUAGCUGGUCUGAGAGGAUGAUCAGCCACACUGGGACUGAGACACGGCCCAGACUCCUACGGGAGGCAGCAGUGGGGAAUAUUGGACAAUGGGCGAAAGCCUGAUCCAGCAAUGCCGCGUGAGUGAUGAAGGCCUUAGGGUUGUAAAGCUCUUUUACCCGGGAUGAUAAUGACAGUACCGGGAGAAUAAGCUCCGGCUAACUCCGUG
Molecule: ribosomal RNA, 433 nt
Filed under: uncultured bacterium
Lineage: Bacteria
Description: partial 16S ribosomal RNA
Rfam family: Bacterial small subunit ribosomal RNA
Source: RNAcentral